GACGAACGCUGGCGGCGUGCUUAACACAUGCAAGUCGAACGGAAAGGCCCUGCUUUUGUGGGGUGCUCGAGUGGCGAAAGGGUGAGUAACACGUGAGUAACCUGCCCUUGACUUUGGGAUAACUUCAGGAAACUCGGGCUAAUACCGGAUAGGAGCUCCUGCUGCACGGUGGGGGUUGGAAAGUUUCGGCGGUUGGGGAUGGACUCGCGGCUUAUCAGCUUGUUGGUGGGGUAGUGGCUUACCAAGGCUUUGACGGGUAGCCGGCCUGGGAGGGUGACCGGCCACAUUGGGACUGAGAUACGGCCCAGACUCCUACGGGAGGCAGCAGUGGGGAAUAUUGCACAAUGGGCGGAAGCCUGAUGCAGCAACGCCGCGUGCGGGAUGACGGCCUUCGGGUUGUAAACCGCUUGCGCCUGUGACGAAGCGUGAGUGACGGUAAUGGGUAAAGAAGCACCGGCUAACUACGUG
RNAcentral lists this ribosomal RNA (468 nucleotides) under uncultured bacterium. RNAcentral's name for it is "partial 16S ribosomal RNA". It matches the Rfam family "Bacterial small subunit ribosomal RNA", at positions 28 to 507 of the family's 1533-position model. The record is from RNAcentral.